UAGACAUAUAAUGCUAAGCUGAUUUUUUUUAUAGCACGCUGAUCGAUAUCUCUGUAAAAUAAUCUUUUUUUUAACUAGCGGGGCAGUGAAAUCUUUGCUUUGUGCUAAAGUCAACAGUGACAGAGUUUGAGCUCAAAUAAAUGCUGUGAUGUCUGAAGCCCUUUGCAGAAGGCAGAAGGCGAGCUUCUACAAAGGGCUCCUGUGUGGCUUGCCAACAACAUACACCGGCUAUUUUGCACAGAUGCACAUGGCUUUCCAUGUGAUGGACACUUCCACUGCUGUUCACUUUCAUCACCCUGCAUCAUGCGACCUGAAAGCUCUUUCCUGUCGAUGUACUUGGCUAUAUCUGCGUCUGACCUGUCUGCCAUAUGUAAUAUCAAAGCCUCUGUCAGCGUGGAGCUGAAUGGGGACAAAAGAGAGGCCUCCAUUAAUGAUUAACUGUUCUAAAAGCCCCGGCUUUUGUAUUCCCAUGGUGCCCAGGCUAUCUGGCCACCAUGUGACAUGCUCACAGCAUUUUUCGAGCAGAUUGGGGGAAAGCUAGUGAGCAAACACAGGUGCUUUGGAGCAGCGUUGCCGACGCUGUCAGGGACAACCACAAACAAGAGCAGCUAUGCCUGGCUAAAUGAAUCCACCCCUCCCAUCACCAUCACCACAGCCACCCCCCACUCUGUCACCAGCUAACUUGUUUGCUAGCUCCCUAUAGCUUUCUCCCUGCAAAGCCUUCCUUCUGGAUGGUCGCCGUAACACACCACCCCCCCAUUCCCGCACAAGUGCAAUGUCCACUGCAGGCAGGCUCCACAACUUCUCACACCCUCCAAAGAAACAAACAAAUAAAAGUGAAGACGGCCGUCCACUUCUUUGAGGUGAUGGCAUUUGCUGUGGUCAUGACUAGUGGCAGAGCAAACAAAUUAAUGGUGUCCAAGUUUUCACUUUCCAAACCAAACUAAAUGUCUUUUAGUUCAAGUGGGGCAAUUCUACUGACCCUGGUGUCAAAUGCUGCAUAAGGGUUGCACACUCUUGCACUUGAAAUGUUGAGAGGAGGCCAUAAGAAAUUUAACAGGGAUUGAGUAUUAGUCUAAAUUAACCUUAUACCUCAAAAUGGCAAUGAUAUAAUCGAUAAAUUAAAAUAACAUUUUUGUUAAUUGCUGCUUUUAAGUAUUUUGGGAGCAAACUAUAAGAAGAGGUACUUAACCUUUUCAGCAGAAUGAUGGGGGGACGCUGUGUCGUUCAACUUUGAUAAGACAAUCAGAUGAUAGAAUGGCGUUAUCUUAACAUGGCUUUCCGGCAGGGAGACAAACGAACAGUGUGUGAUAACAGGAACAAAGGCUUUGCUCUUAUUGGCUGGUUCCCUCAAAGAAAGGAAGAUUUAUCAGUGGAAAAGUCACAAUAAGCACUGUUUAUUUCAUUUUCAAUUUUCUACUUAAGCCAGUGCAGGAACAUUUUUUUUUCUUUAUCACUCAAAUAUUUAUAUUGUCUCUUGCUAGCAUUUUGGUUUGACAAUCUGCAAUUACCUGAGCCUAUAAAGCAGUUAUCACUGGAAAGAUGAUAAAAAUGUUUCAAAACAAACAAAUUAAAUCAACAGGAGAGGAAAUGAAGUUGUAAAAGUGAGAGAUGCAGAUACAAAAAGAGAGGCAGAAAGCCAAGGAAGGAAAAACAUGGAAUAAGAGAAAAUGUCAGGUGUCUAUUUUUGAGAAACGAAAAGGUGAUUAUAGGAAAAAGGUUAAAAGUAGUUUCCCUUUGGCUGAUCAGAAAAACAUCCGUCUGGGUUUUUCAGACUUUUGCAGACGUAUUACCAGAGACAGAGAGGCGUAUGUAUACUCAAGGAUUCACUCAAGGCUUUGUUUGCUUUAUUCUCCCAAAAAUGAUUGGAAAAAAAUAUUGGUGCCCUACCAUGAAAUGUUAGCACUUUGAAAGGAA
Melanotaenia boesemani (Boeseman's rainbowfish) is the source of this 1917-nucleotide long non-coding RNA. RefSeq lists it as uncharacterized. Lineage: Eukaryota; Metazoa; Chordata; Actinopteri; Atheriniformes; Melanotaeniidae. The transcript has 2 exons. The record is from RefSeq and is a predicted model, not a curated record.